RNAcentral lists this ribosomal RNA (301 nucleotides) under uncultured bacterium. Its description in RNAcentral is "partial 16S ribosomal RNA". It matches the Rfam family "Bacterial small subunit ribosomal RNA", at positions 509 to 807 of the family's 1533-position model. The record is from RNAcentral.
CAGCAGCCGCGGUAAUACGUAGGGUGCAAGCGUUAAUCGGAAUUACUGGGCGUAAAGCGUGCGCAGGCGGUUUGUUAAGACAGAUGUGAAAUCCCCGGGCUCAACCUGGGAACUGCAUUUGUGACUGGCAAGCUAGAGUCUGGCAGAGGGGGGUGGAAUUCCGCGUGUAGCAGUGAAAUGCGUAGAUAUGCGGAGGAACACCGAUGGCGAAGGCAGCCCCCUGGGCCAAUACUGACGCUCAUGCACGAAAGCGUGGGGAGCAAACAGGAUUAGAGACCCCUGUAGUCCCUGUCUCUUAUAC